RNAcentral lists this ribosomal RNA (224 nucleotides) under uncultured bacterium. Its description in RNAcentral is "partial 16S ribosomal RNA". It matches the Rfam family "Bacterial small subunit ribosomal RNA", at positions 701 to 929 of the family's 1533-position model. The record is from RNAcentral.
CCAGACUCCUACGGGAGGCAGCUUGCGGGAGCACAACUGACGCUGAAGCUCGAAAGUGCGGGUAUCGAACAGGAUUAGAUACCCUGGUAGUCCGCACGGUAAACGAUGGAUGCCCGUUGUCAGGCUGUUUCAGUCUGGUGACCAAGCGAAAGCAUUAAGCAUCCCACCUGGGGAGUACGCCGGCAACGGUGAAACUCAAAGGAAUUGACGGGGGCCCGCACAAG